RNAcentral lists this ribosomal RNA (496 nucleotides) under uncultured bacterium. RNAcentral's name for it is "partial 16S ribosomal RNA". It matches the Rfam family "Bacterial small subunit ribosomal RNA", at positions 29 to 507 of the family's 1533-position model. The record is from RNAcentral.
AUGAACGCUGGCGGCGUGCCUAAUACAUGCAAGUCGAGCGAACGGACGAGAAGCUUGCUUUUCUGAUGUUAGCGGCGGACGGGUGAGUAACACGUGGAUAACCUACCUAUAAGACUGGGAUAACUUCGGGAAACCGGAGCUAAUACCGGAUAAUAUUUUGAACCGCAUGGUUCAAAAGUGAAAGACGGUCUUGCUGUCACCUAUAGAUGGAUCCGCGCUGCAUUAGCUAGUUGGUAAGGUAACGGCUUACCAAGGCAACGAUGCAUAGCCGACCUGAGAGGGUGAUCGGCCACACUGGAACUGAGACACGGUCCAGACUCCUACGGGAGGCAGCAGUAGGGAAUCUUCCACAAUGGGCGAAAGCCUGACGGAGCAACGCCGCGUGAGUGAUGAAGGUCUUCGGAUCGUAAAACUCUGUUAUUAGGGAAGAACAUAUGUGUAAGUAACUGUGCACAUCUUGACGGUACCUAAUCAGAAAGCCACGGCUAACUACGUG